This 83-nucleotide transfer RNA is filed under the name Treponema sp. RNAcentral's name for it is "tRNA-Leu". It matches the Rfam family "tRNA". Rfam says of the family: Transfer RNA (tRNA) molecules are approximately 80 nucleotides in length. Lineage: Bacteria; Pseudomonadati; Spirochaetota; Spirochaetia; Treponematales; Treponemataceae. The record is from RNAcentral.
GCCGGGAUGAUGGAAUGGUAGACAUUGGGGACUUAAAAUCCCCUCCUCGUGAGAGGGUACGAGUUCGAGUCUCGUUCCCGGCA